UCAAACUUGGUCAUUUAGAGGAAGUAAAAGUCGUAACAAGGUCUCCGUUGGUGAACCAGCGGAGGGAUCAUUAUCGAGUUUCUGAACUCCAAACCUUUGUGAACCUUACCAUCGUUGCUUCGGCGGGAUGCCCCAGGUGCCGCCCGGCACCCGGAUCCAGGCGCCCGCCGGGGGACCCAAACUCUUGUUUUUCCAGUGGAAUCCUCUGAGUCUUGGCAUAAAUAAGCAAUCAAAACUUUCAGCAACGGAUCUCUUGGUUCUGGCAUCGAUGAAGAACGCAGC
This 282-nucleotide unclassified non-coding RNA is filed under the name uncultured fungus. RNAcentral describes it as "partial contains small subunit ribosomal RNA, internal transcribed spacer 1, and 5.8S ribosomal RNA". The stretch from base 1 to 73 matches the Rfam family "Eukaryotic small subunit ribosomal RNA", at positions 1759 to 1831 of the family's 1831-position model. The record is from RNAcentral. Lineage: Eukaryota; Fungi.